RNAcentral lists this ribosomal RNA (482 nucleotides) under uncultured bacterium. RNAcentral's name for it is "partial 16S ribosomal RNA". It matches the Rfam family "Bacterial small subunit ribosomal RNA", at positions 30 to 507 of the family's 1533-position model. The record is from RNAcentral.
AUUGAACGCUGGCGGCAUGCUUUACACAUGCAAGUCGAACGGUAACAGGCCGCAAGUUGCUGACGAGUGGCGAACGGGGGAGUAAUGCAUCGGAACGUGCCCAGUCGUGGGGGAUAACUACUCGAAAGAGUAGCUAAUACCGCAUACGAUCUAUGGAUGAAAGCGGGGGACCGUAAGGCCUCGCGCGAUUGGAGCUGCCGAUGUCAGAUUAGGUAGUUGGUGGGGUAAAGGCUCACCAAGCCAACGAUCUGUAGCUGGUCUGAGAGGACGACCAGCCACACUGGGACUGAGACACGGCCCAGACUCCUACGGGAGGCAGCAGUGGGGAAUUUUGGACAAUGGGCGAAAGCCUGAUCCAGCAAUGCCGCGUGCAGGAAGAAGGCCUUCGGGUUGUAAAAUGCUUUUGUACGGAACGAAACGGCUCUGGUUAAUACCCGGGGAUAAUGACGGUACCGUAAGAAUAAGCACCGGCUAACUACGUG